Molecule: transfer RNA, 77 nt
Filed under: Moraxella catarrhalis
Lineage: Bacteria; Pseudomonadati; Pseudomonadota; Gammaproteobacteria; Moraxellales; Moraxellaceae
Description: tRNA-Arg(ccg)
Rfam family: tRNA
About the family: Transfer RNA (tRNA) molecules are approximately 80 nucleotides in length. Their secondary structure includes four short double-helical elements and three loops (D, anti-codon, and T loops).
Source: RNAcentral
GUGCUUGUAGCUCAGUUGGAUAGAGUGUCAGCCUCCGAAGCUGAAGGUCGCGGGUUCGAUUCCUGCCAAGCACACCA